UACAGAGGUGGCAAGCGUUGUUCGGAAUUACUGGGCGUAAAGGGCGCGUAGGCGGCCUUCUAAGUCAGACGUGAAAUCCCCCGGCUUAACCUGGGAACUGCGUCUGAUACUGGGAGGCUUGAGUAUGGGAGAGGGAUGUAGAAUUCCUGGUGUAGCGGUGAAAUGCGCAGAUAUCAGGAGGAACACCGGUGGCGAAGGCGGCAUUCUGGACCGAUAUUGACGCUGAGGAGCGAAAGCCAGGGGAGCAAACGGG
Molecule: ribosomal RNA, 253 nt
Filed under: uncultured bacterium
Lineage: Bacteria
Description: partial 16S ribosomal RNA
Rfam family: Bacterial small subunit ribosomal RNA
Source: RNAcentral